GUUUUGAAGAAAAAAACCAAACAAAACCAGGAGCUACAGUUCUACCCAUAUCCAAGAGAAGAUGGUAACUCUACCAUAGAAGAUGUGAGGUAAGAUGGACAGCAGAUGACCCUGGAAGAGAUGGAAUCUAGAAGUUGGUUACAGAGAUAAGCUCAAUGACUAUCAGCUCAGCAACAUUUGUGAAUAGAAAGAUGCCUCUCCCAACAAGACUUAUAGACAUGGAGGGAAACCACAAGUUUUGGCACUGGCUUAAAUACAGCAAAAAACAAAAGAGGAGAGGCUGCUUUUCGGUAGCAAAUGUGUAGCAACAUGGACAGCAGAUGACCUUGAAGAAAGAGAUGAAGAACAGAAGCUGGGUACAGAGAGUUGCUCAGUGACUGAGAGAUCCUGGGCAUUUCCUGAGUGCAGAGCGAAGAUGUGAUGCUGCCCUGCUGAGAGAGAAUGUCACCAGAGGUGAUCCUAAAGAUUCAUAAGUGUUCCCUGCACACAUC
Phascolarctos cinereus (koala) is the source of this 491-nucleotide non-coding RNA. Lineage: Eukaryota; Metazoa; Chordata; Mammalia; Diprotodontia; Phascolarctidae. The record is from RefSeq and is a predicted model, not a curated record.